UUCCCUUCCCAUUUGCUUUUAAAAGUUUGCAUUAAGUCUUUCUAUCCUUCUGCUGGUUGUUUUGCAAGACUAUGAUAAAGAUCUUGCAUUGAGUGAUGAUCGAUGAUUUAUUAUUAAAUCAAAUACUGCAUCUUCUAAGUCUCUCUGCUUGCCCCUGUCUUGCUUUCCUUAACUCUUGGAGGAACUAUAAAAAGAAGGUCAGACUUUGCUCGAAAAUUCUUACUUUGAUCACUCUAUUGGUCAGCCAACAUGCCCUUGGAGUCUUUUUCC
RNAcentral lists this long non-coding RNA (270 nucleotides) under Elaeis guineensis (African oil palm). RNAcentral describes it as "long non-coding RNA (EGUI_LNC028178)". Lineage: Eukaryota; Viridiplantae; Streptophyta; Magnoliopsida; Arecales; Arecaceae. The record is from RNAcentral.